GAUGAAGAACGUAGCGAAAUGCGAUAAGUAAUGUGAAUUGCAGAAUUCAGUGAAUCAUCGAAUCUUUGAACGCACAUAGCGCCCCCUGGUAUUCCGGGGGGCAUGCCUGUUCGAGCGUCAUUUCACCACUCAAGCCUCGCUUGGUAUUGGGCAACGCGGUCCGCCGCGUGCCUCAAAUCGACCGGCUGGGUCUUCUGUCCCCUAAGCGUUGUGGAAACUAUUCGCUAAAGGGUGUUCGGGAGGCUACGCCGUAAAACAACCCCAUUUCUAAGGUUGACCUCGGAUCAGGUAGGGAUACCCGCUGAACUUAAGCAUAUCAAUAAGCGGAGGA
RNAcentral lists this unclassified non-coding RNA (331 nucleotides) under soil metagenome. Its description in RNAcentral is "partial contains 5.8S ribosomal RNA, internal transcribed spacer 2, and large subunit ribosomal RNA". The stretch from base 1 to 120 matches the Rfam family "5.8S ribosomal RNA", at positions 35 to 154 of the family's 154-position model. The record is from RNAcentral.